This is a small nuclear RNA of Phyllostomus hastatus (greater spear-nosed bat), 137 nucleotides long. RefSeq annotates it as U4 spliceosomal RNA. The transcript has a single exon. The record is from RefSeq and is a predicted model, not a curated record. NCBI's taxonomy places the organism in Eukaryota, Metazoa, Chordata, Mammalia, Chiroptera, Phyllostomidae.
AGCUUUGCACAGGGGCAGUAUUGUAGCCAAUGAGGUUUAUCUGAGGUACAAUUACUACUAAUUGAAAAGAAAAAAAAAAGUGUGGACUUAUUUUUAAACCACUGCACGUUAUUUCCAAUUUUCUGCUGUUAAAGCAA